Molecule: ribosomal RNA, 2002 nt
Filed under: Salmonella enterica subsp. enterica serovar Typhi str. CT18
Lineage: Bacteria; Pseudomonadati; Pseudomonadota; Gammaproteobacteria; Enterobacterales; Enterobacteriaceae
Description: partial 23S ribosomal RNA
Rfam family: Bacterial large subunit ribosomal RNA
Source: RNAcentral
CCACAUACGCAUCCUUUGCUGAGGAGACGGUUAACGGAGCGAAAGCGACGUUCAACCUCAAAAGAAGCAGAGGGGGCUUAGUGGUGGGGUGACUGCGUACCUUUUGUAUAAUGGGUCAGCGACUUAUAUUCUGUAGCAAGGUUAACUGUAUAGGGGAGCCGGAGGGAAACCGAGUCUUAACCGGGCGUUAAGUUGCAGGGUAUAGACCCGAAACCCGGUGAUCUAGCCAUGGGCAGGUUGAAGGUUGGGUAACACUAACUGGAGGACCGAACCGACUAAUGUUGAAAAAUUAGCGGAUGACCUGUGGCUGGGGGUGAAAGGCCAAUCAAACCGGGAGAUAGCUGGUUCUCCCCGAAAGCUAUUUAGGUAGCGCCUCGUGAAUUCAUCUCCGGGGGUAGAGCACUGUUUCGGCUAGGGGGCCAUCCCGGCUUACCAACCCGAUGCAAACUGCGAAUACCGGAGAAUGUUAUCACGGGAGACACACGGCGGGUGCUAAUGUCCGUCGUGAAGAGGGAAACAACCCAGACCGCCAGCUAAGGUCCCAAAGUCAUGGUUAAGUGGGAAACGAUGUGGGAAGGCCCAGACAGCCAGGAUGUUGGCUUAGAAGCAGCCAUCAUUUAAAGAAAGCGUAAUAGCUCACUGGUCGAGUCGGCCUGCGCGGAAGAUGUAACGGGGCUAAACCAUGCACCGAAGCUGCGGCAGCGACACCGUGUGUUGUUGGGUAGGGGAGCGUUCUGUAAGCCUGUGAAGGUGUGCUGUGAGGCAUGCUGGAGGUAUCAGAAGUGCGAAUGCUGACAUAAGUAACGAUAAAGCGGGUGAAAAGCCCGCUCGCCGGAAGACCAAGGGUUCCUGUCCAACGUUAAUCGGGGCAGGGUGAGUCGACCCCUAAGGCGAGGCCGAAAGGCGUAGUCGAUGGGAAACGGGUUAAUAUUCCCGUACUUGGUGUUACUGCGAAGGGGGGACGGAGAAGGCUAUGUUGGCCGGGCGACGGUUGUCCCGGUUUAAGCGUGUAGGUAUGUGUUCCAGGUAAAUCCGGUUCACUUUAACACUGAGGCGUGACGACGAGGCACUACGGUGCUGAAGCAACAAAUGCCCUGCUUCCAGGAAAAGCCUCUAAGCAUCAGGUAACAUCAAAUCGUACCCCAAACCGACACAGGUGGUCAGGUAGAGAAUACCAAGGCGCUUGAGAGAACUCGGGUGAAGGAACUAGGCAAAAUGGUGCCGUAACUUCGGGAGAAGGCACGCUGACACGUAGGUGAAGUGAUUUACUCACGGAGCUGAAGUCAGCCGAAGAUACCAGCUGGCUGCAACUGUUUAUUAAAAACACAGCACUGUGCAAACACGAAAGUGGACGUAUACGGUGUGACGCCUGCCCGGUGCCGGAAGGUUAAUUGAUGGGGUCAGCGCAAGCGAAGCUCCUGAUCGAAGCCCCGGUAAACGGCGGCCGUAACUAUAACGGUCCUAAGGUAGCGAAAUUCCUUGUCGGGUAAGUUCCGACCUGCACGAAUGGCGUAAUGAUGGCCAGGCUGUCUCCACCCGAGACUCAGUGAAAUUGAACUCGCUGUGAAGAUGCAGUGUACCCGCGGCAAGACGGAAAGACCCCGUGAACCUUUACUAUAGCUUGACACUGAACAUUGAGCCUUGAUGUGUAGGAUAGGUGGGAGGCUUUGAAGUGUGGACGCCAGUCUGCAUGGAGCCGACCUUGAAAUACCACCCUUUAAUGUUUGAUGUUCUAACGUGGACCCGUGAUCCGGGUUGCGGACAGUGUCUGGUGGGUAGUUUGACUGGGGCGGUCUCCUCCUAAAGAGUAACGGAGGAGCACGAAGGUUGGCUAAUCCUGGUCGGACAUCAGGAGGUUAGUGCAAUGGCAUAAGCCAGCUUGACUGCGAGCGUGACGGCGCGAGCAGGUGCGAAAGCAGGUCAUAGUGAUCCGGUGGUUCUGAAUGGAAGGGCCAUCGCUCAACGGAUAAAAGGUACUCCGGGGAUAACAGGCUGAUACCGC